Molecule: transfer RNA, 76 nt
Filed under: Segatella bryantii
Lineage: Bacteria; Pseudomonadati; Bacteroidota; Bacteroidia; Bacteroidales; Prevotellaceae
Also listed under: 1 other name
Description: Prevotella bryantii tRNA_Pro_TGG
Rfam family: tRNA
About the family: Transfer RNA (tRNA) molecules are approximately 80 nucleotides in length. Their secondary structure includes four short double-helical elements and three loops (D, anti-codon, and T loops).
Source: RNAcentral
AGGGAAGUAGCACAGUUGGUAGUGUUCCUGGUUUGGGACCAGGAGGUCGUCGGUUCGAGUCCGGUCUUCCCUACUA